CCUUUUCCCUGCCUGUGACCUAUGGCUGUUGCUGCUGGUGAUUCUCUGACGGUGCUUUCGUGUUUGACCUCAUCAACACAGCAUCUGAGCAAAACUGGAGGUGCGGAGCAGCCAUCAUGACAGGCGCCAAAAGAACACAUACGUCUAGGAUGGAUUUCAGUAUCAUAAAGCCAGCAGCAGCAACAUCAGGCAUUGCCGACUGUACCCCGGCACAGUCUCGUGCGUGAUAGGCGGGAGAACAUUUAGCUGCCGUGAGUUCCCUUUCUGCCCCUCAUUGCCAUUGGCCUAGCACAGAGUAGAUUGGGACGCCGUUCACCUCGAUCUCCACCAUCAACACGACUACCAGGUCAACCUGAAGCGACAAUAACUCAUUCGUUCUCCCUUUGCCACACUUUCAGGUUCAACCAGCAGCCGUAGAAAGACUUUUAAAAUAUGUCUCAUCACUUACUUCCAAAGAACGGUUCAUGAAACACAUGUUUAUCCAAGCUUUUAUUUUCCUUCAACCAUCAUUUUUUGAUUGGUAAUGUGCUGCUGAUUUAGUAAUGAUAAAAAAAGAAAAUGGCUAUUGUUGACUAGUUAUGUAGCAUGUCAAGUAGCAUGCCUAACAAAUAUGCAGAAAAGGGGCUCAAUGCUCAAGCCAAGCAAUCAUGUACGUCAAAUUAUAAUGUUCAAGGUCAGUUCAGCUUUUCUCCCAAGUAUCCUUUGUUUGCAGUGUGUGCCAUCUACCCAAAUUUUAAACUACUCGGUAAAUAUUCUGUGAAGUCCAUGUACUUCGAAGUAUGAGCAGUUGCAUAUUAGAAUAUCCGUUCGUUUCUUGAUAACACAUUAGAAAUAGUACGGUAUGGAACUUGUG
Long non-coding RNA from Sycon ciliatum, 853 nucleotides. RefSeq lists it as uncharacterized. The transcript has 2 exons. The record is from RefSeq and is a predicted model, not a curated record. NCBI's taxonomy places the organism in Eukaryota, Metazoa, Porifera, Calcarea, Leucosolenida, Sycettidae.